AAACAAGGCCCCAAACAAGCGCACAUCUGUGCAGCUUGAGCGUUGAAAACAACCAUCCAUAUCCUAGAGGGAGUUACAUACUUUCAGCUCCUUGCUUUACAGUUAAUUUCAAGUAGAAUCUCUCUUCAUUUAUUGUACAAAUGAUUAGUGCUUUCUGCUUGGCACUCUGCUAAUGGGAAAAGGAAGAUAAAUUAGACAGGAUUCCGCUUUCAAGGAGUUCAAAGAUAGAAAGCAGUGUGUGCGUGCUCAGUCUCUUCACUCAGGUCUGAGUGUUUGCGACCCUCUGGACUGCAACCCACCAGGCUCCUCUGUCGAUGGGAUUCUCCAGGCAAGAAUACUGGAGUGGGGUUGUCAUGCCCUCUUCCAGGGGAAUCUUCCCAACCCAGAGAUCGAACCAGAGUCUCCCACGUCUCCUGCAUUGCAGGCGGAUUCUUAAUCCACUGAGCCACCUAGAAAGCAGUAUUGUAAGGCAUGGAAAGCUGGACAUUCUUUUGGCUGUUUGACUGUCUCCUGCUAAGAAAGUUUCAGAGAAUUCAUGGGCCUGACGUACAGCCUAUGGUUCUGAGCCAUGAGGUGGGUUGAAUUACCUUUGGACGGUCAGCUCUAAAACUCGGGUAGCAUCCUAAGCAGUGCUAAGUAACAAUCUGAUCUUCUCAACCCCUAAAAAGUAAGAAAUACAAAAAGGAAAUGGCACUUUCAUUUUGAAACACAUUUUUAACAAUACUUCAUGAAAUAUCUUGAAGAAAAUAAAAAUCAUGUUCCCAUUUUGAAACCA
RNAcentral lists this long non-coding RNA (775 nucleotides) under Bos indicus x Bos taurus (hybrid cattle). RNAcentral describes it as "lncRNA (ENSBIXG00005030771.1)". The record is from RNAcentral. Lineage: Eukaryota; Metazoa; Chordata; Mammalia; Artiodactyla; Bovidae.